RNAcentral lists this long non-coding RNA (767 nucleotides) under Cyanistes caeruleus (blue tit). RNAcentral describes it as "lncRNA (ENSCCEG00000014156.1)". Lineage: Eukaryota; Metazoa; Chordata; Aves; Passeriformes; Paridae. The record is from RNAcentral.
CUUCAAGAAAAAAAGAAAAUUUACUUCAAAACUUAUGAGAAAUGAAAGAAAACAAAACAAUUCUUAAACCAGCAUUUGUUGCACUCAGGUGGGAAUGUCAGCUCCCUCCGUAAGGGAUGCCCAGGUUGCAUUUUUCCUGCCAAGGGAAUGGCAGAGCCAAGGCAAAGACAUUCCAUUGAGCAAACCCACUAAUUUAUUUAUUUAUUUUUUUAAAAUUAAGAUAGAGCUGGGUAGUAAGGAACACAAAGCUUAGAAUCCCUUUCUCACCCCAAGGUCUACUCCACCCCUCAUUCCCAGCUGCUCUCCCUGCCCAAGCAGCACAGGGGCACUGGGGCAAGGCCCAGCACACAGCAGUACCUGUUUGCAGCUCCUUUCUCAUCAGGGUUCUGCACUGACUCCUUCCCCCAGGGCCCAGCUCCCUGGGAUAAAGCUGUUUCUGACAUGGGCUCCCCUUCACCAAGAGGAAUCCCUGCUGCAACACCCCUACUUAUCCCUCCAAGUGCUCCCAGCCACCACCAUGCUCAGAGGACGAAGAAAGCGUGAAUGUUGAUGUAGCAAGACCCAAAUGUGGCUUGCAGGGAGAAAGGGACAACAGAAAACCACUGAAGAGGAGUCAGUUGUUCACAGUGGUCUUCCACAGGGGAAAGACAUCAAAUAUUUCAGAGCAGACCAAGGAUUUUUUCCUCAAUCAGAUAAAAGUUCCCAUGAGUGUUUGGAAGGUAAUUGAAAACCAGUCUUCUAACAAAUGUGGUGACUGCCCUAACUAG